RNAcentral lists this ribosomal RNA (245 nucleotides) under uncultured bacterium. RNAcentral describes it as "partial 16S ribosomal RNA". It matches the Rfam family "Bacterial small subunit ribosomal RNA", at positions 524 to 768 of the family's 1533-position model. The record is from RNAcentral.
UACGGAGGAUGCAAGCGUUAUCCGGAAUGAUUGGGCGUAAAGGGUCCGCAGGUGGCAUUGAAAGUCUGCUGUUAAAGAGUCUGGCUUAACCAGAUAAAGGCAGUGGAAACUACAAAGCUAGAGUGCGUUCGGGGUAGAGGGAAUUCCUGGUGUAGCGGUGAAAUGCGUAGAGAUCAGGAAGAACACCGGUGGCGAAGGCGCUCUACUAGGCCGCAACUGACGCUGAGGGACGAAAGCUAGGGGAG